RNAcentral lists this ribosomal RNA (622 nucleotides) under uncultured bacterium. RNAcentral describes it as "bacterial SSU rRNA". The stretch from base 1 to 522 matches the Rfam family "Bacterial small subunit ribosomal RNA", at positions 338 to 873 of the family's 1533-position model. The record is from RNAcentral.
CCUACGGGAGGCAGCAGUGGGGAAUAUUGGACAAUGGGCGAAAGCCUGAUCCAGCAAUGCCGCGUGAGUGAUGAAGGCCUUCGGGUCGUAAAGCUCUUUUACCAGGGAUGAUAAUGACAGUACCUGGAGAAUAAGCUCCGGCUAACUCCGUGCCAGCAGCCGCGGUAAUACGGAGGGAGCUAGCGUUGUUCGGAAUUACUGGGCGUAAAGAGUACGUAGGCGGUUAUUCAAGUCAGAGGUGAAAGCCCGGGGCUCAACCCCGGAACUGCCUUUGAAACUAGAUAACUAGAGUCUUGGAGAGGUUAGUGGAAUUCCGAGUGUAGAGGUGAAAUUCGUAGAUAUUCGGAAGAACACCAGUGGCGAAGGCGACUAACUGGACAAGUACUGACGCUGAGGUACGAAAGCGUGGGGAGCAAACAGGAUUAGAUACCCUGGUAGUCCACGCCGUAAACGAUGAUAACCUAGUUGUUCGGUCACUUGGUGUACUAGAGUGACGCAGACUACGACAUUAAGUUAUCCGUCCGUCGGGUAGGUACGGUCGGUCGAAGAAUUAAAACUUAAAUUAAGUAAGUUAGUACGGACGUGAGACGUAGCCGAACGGACGACGACGACGGGAGGUAGG